CCUACGGGGGACAGCAGUAGGGAAUCUUCCACAAUGGGCGAAAGCCUGAUGGAGCAACGCCGCGUGGGUGAAGAAGGUCUUCGGAUCGUAAAACCCUGUUGUUAGAGAAGAAAGUGCGUGAGAGUAACUGUUCACGUUUCGACGGUAUCUAACCAGAAAGCCACGGCUAACUACGUGCCAGCAGCCGCGGUAAUACGUAGGUGGCAAGCGUUAUCCGGAUUUAUUGGGCCGAAAGGGAACGCAGGCGGUCUUUUAAGUCUGGUGGGAAAGCCUUCGGCUUACCCGGCGUAGUGCAUUGGAAACUAGUGAACUUGAGUGCGGAAGAGGGGAGUGGAACUCCAUGUGUAGCGGUGAAAUGCGUAGAUAUAUGGAAGAACACCAGUGGCGAAGGCGGCUCUCUGGGCUGUAACUGACGCUGAGGUUCGAAAGCGUGGGUAGCAAACAGGAUUAGAUACCCCUGUAGUC
Molecule: ribosomal RNA, 465 nt
Filed under: uncultured bacterium
Lineage: Bacteria
Description: partial 16S ribosomal RNA
Rfam family: Bacterial small subunit ribosomal RNA
Source: RNAcentral